Molecule: ribosomal RNA, 509 nt
Filed under: uncultured bacterium
Lineage: Bacteria
Description: bacterial SSU rRNA
Rfam family: Bacterial small subunit ribosomal RNA
Source: RNAcentral
GAUGAACGCUGGCGGCGUGCUUAACACAUGCAAGUCGAGCGAAGCAUUAAAACAGAUUUCUUCGGAUUGAAGUUCUAAUGACUGAGCGGCGGACGGGUGAGUAACGCGUGGGUGACCUGCCUCAUACAGGGGGAUAACAGACAGAAAUGUCUGCUAAUACCGCAUAAGCGCACAGUGCUGCAUGGCACCGUGUGAAAAACUCCGGUGGUAUGAGAUGGACCCGCGUCUGAUUAGCUAGUUGGUAAGGUAACGGCUUACCAAGGCGACGAUCAGUAGCCGGCCUGAGAGGGUGAACGGCCACAUUGGGACUGAGACACGGCCCAAACUCCUACGGGAGGCAGCAGUGGGGAAUAUUGCACAAUGGGGGAAACCCUGAUGCAGCGACGCCGCGUGAAGGAAGAAGUAUUUCGGUAUGUAAACUUCUAUCAGCAGGGAAGAAAAUGACGGUACCUGACUAAGAAGCCCCGGCUAACUACGUGCCAGCAGCCGCGGUAAUACGUAGGGGGCAA